This 440-nucleotide ribosomal RNA is filed under the name Pseudobuliminus subcylindricus. RNAcentral's name for it is "partial large subunit ribosomal RNA". It matches the Rfam family "Archaeal large subunit ribosomal RNA", at positions 1901 to 2676 of the family's 2987-position model. Lineage: Eukaryota; Metazoa; Mollusca; Gastropoda; Stylommatophora; Camaenidae. The record is from RNAcentral.
AAAAACAUAACUGUAUGAAUAUACAUAUAGCUAUUUCUGCUCAAUGAAGUGUUAAAUAGCCGCAGUAAUUUGACUGUGCAAAGGUAGCAUAAUCAGUUGGCUUAUAAUUGAAGUCUGGUAUGAAGGAAUUCAUGGGGGGUGACUGUAUCAUAAUUGUUUAUGAAAUUAAUUAUUGGGUGAAAAUGCCCUUUUAAAAAUAAUAGACGAGAAGACCCUAGAAAUUUUUAGGAUAUAUGUGAUUAAUUGUUUUUGUUGGGGCGACAUUGUAGCAAUUAACCUACUUUAACUUAUAUAUGAUUAUUAUAAUAAGAAUAAUUAAAUUACUCUAGGGAUAACAGCAUAAUAUUAUAAAGUUUGUGACCUCGAUGUUGGACUAGGGAAUAUAAGCCCAGAAGGCAAAAUAUUGUGCUCUGUUCGAGCAGUUAACCCUACGUGAUCUG